Molecule: ribosomal RNA, 473 nt
Filed under: uncultured bacterium
Lineage: Bacteria
Description: bacterial SSU rRNA
Rfam family: Bacterial small subunit ribosomal RNA
Source: RNAcentral
UGCGAACUCCUACGGGAGGCAGCAGUGAGGAAUAUUGGUCAAUGGGCGAGAGCCUGAACCAGCCAAGUAGCGUGCAGGAUGACGGCCCUAUGGGUUGUAAACUGCUUUUUUAUGGGAAUAAAGUGAGGGACGUGUCCCUUUUUGCAGGUACCAUACGAAUAAGGACCGGCUAAUUCCGUGCCAGCAGCCGCGGUAAUACGGAAGGUCCAGGCGUUAUCCGGAUUUAUUGGGUUUAAAGGGAGCGUAGGCCGGAGAUUAAGUGUGUUGUGAAAUGUAGACGCUCAACGUCUGACUUGCAGCGCAUACUGGUUUCCUUGAGUACGCACAACGUUGGCGGAAUUCGUCGUGUAGCGGUGAAAUGCUUAGAUAUGACGAAGAACUCCGAUUGCGAAGGCAGCUGACGGGAGCGCAACUGACGCUUAAGCUCGAAGGUGCGGGUAUCAAACAGGAUUAGAUACCCCAGUAGUCCUAUC